GAUGAACGCUGGCGGCGUGCCUAAUACAUGCAAGUCGAGCGAAUGGAUUGAGAGCUUGCUCUCAAGAAGUUAGCGGCGGACGGGUGAGUAACACGUGGGUAACCUGCCCAUAAGACUGGGAUAACCCCGGGAAACCGGGGCUAAUACCGGAUAAUAUUUUGAACUGCAUGGUUCGAAAUUGAAAGGCGGCUUCGGCUGUCACUUAUGGAUGGACCGCGUCGCAUUAGCUAGUUGGUGAGGUAACGGCUCACCAAGGCAACGAUGCGUAGCCGACCUGAGAGGGUGAUCGGCCACACUGGGACUGAGACACGGCCCAGACUCCUACGGGAGGCAGCAGUAGGGAAUCUUCCGCAAUGGACGAAAGUCUGACGGAGCAACGCCGCGUGAGUGAUGAAGGCUUUCGGGUCGUAAAACUCUGUUGUUAGGGAAGAACAAGUGCUAGUUGAAUAAGCUGGCACCUUGACGGUACCUAACCAGAAAGCCACGGCUAACUACGUGCCAGCAGCCG
This 508-nucleotide ribosomal RNA is filed under the name uncultured bacterium. RNAcentral describes it as "bacterial SSU rRNA". It matches the Rfam family "Bacterial small subunit ribosomal RNA", at positions 28 to 517 of the family's 1533-position model. The record is from RNAcentral.